AUGAAGACACAGCGACGACACACACCAGCAGGAGCCAAAAAAUCCAGAAAACAUCAAACAAAAUCCUCGCUGUUGUUAUUUUUGAAGCCUGAUCCUGCCUUGGUUUGGCGUAAAAGCUGUGCUUCCGGUAAGUCGCAGAGAACACUCUGCUCUAGUAAACACAGGCUCCUGCUGCAAGUUGUUUAUAAAGAGCCACGCUGUUUUCCAGAAGCAGGUAUUAUAAGACUAACAGAACCCCCACAGCAACUUUUUAACCAGUGA
This 261-nucleotide long non-coding RNA is filed under the name Cavia porcellus (domestic guinea pig). RNAcentral's name for it is "lncRNA (ENSCPOG00000033066.1)". The record is from RNAcentral. Lineage: Eukaryota; Metazoa; Chordata; Mammalia; Rodentia; Caviidae.